Long non-coding RNA from Erinaceus europaeus (western European hedgehog), 347 nucleotides. RefSeq lists it as uncharacterized. The transcript is spliced from 3 exons. Lineage: Eukaryota; Metazoa; Chordata; Mammalia; Eulipotyphla; Erinaceidae. The record is from RefSeq and is a predicted model, not a curated record.
GUGCGAGAUCCUGCCUGCACCUCCCAGAGCCCAGCACACAUGCUGGGCAGGGCUCACUGUGCCUACCAUGGAAGAGGCCACAUGCAAAAGCAGAGGGAGGCCAUUAGCCCACUGCCAGCUGAGGCAACUAUGUAAGGAAGCCUGGAGUGGGCCUUGCCACCAAGGCCAGAGCAGCUACGGUGACUUAUAACCACUCAGGAACCCUCCCCGUGCCCAUUUGACAGAUGAGGAAACUGUGACUUGACCAAGAUCCCACCAUGAGCCACUGGGUGUGGUGGAUUCAUCAUGCAGUCACUGAUUCCCGACAACUCAGGUUCGAAUGAAGCCUCCACUGAAUUAGAAGUUUG